Non-coding RNA from Triticum aestivum (bread wheat), 133 nucleotides. NCBI's taxonomy places the organism in Eukaryota, Viridiplantae, Streptophyta, Magnoliopsida, Poales, Poaceae. The record is from Rfam.
CAACUACUCACUCGGUCCGAAAAUAUUUGUCAUCAAAAUGGAUUAAAAAAAUGUAUCUAGAACUGAAUUCGUCUAGAUACAUCAUCUUUUAUCCAUUUUGAUGACAAAUAUUUUCAGACAGAGGGAGUAUAAG